UGUUCAAUGUUACCGAAACUUAACAAACAUUACCCAAUAAUUUCCGAUGCUAGAUUCCAUAUCCGUGAUUUAACCAUAACUUGGUAGAAAUAUUAUUUAUUUUCAGAUACAGAAUCAAUAUCUACAAUAGGCCCUAGAUUCUAGAUCUAGAUCUAGAUCUAAGUUAAAGAAGAUUCCAUUCAACCGUUGCCAAGAAGGGUGCAAUUUGUUUACAAACAACACUCAGCACAGACCACUGAGUCAAGUUGUGAUGGCAACAGAAUUGUGUGGAUUAUUCCCAGAUGACGAUUUUAACCGAGCAAUAGAUGAGCUCGAUAAACCUGAUGUGGAUGGUUGGGAAUUUUUUGUAGAAUCUCAUGGAGUGACUAUUUAUCGUCUUUUCAAUGAGGGUUCUGGAUUGUAUGAGUAUAAAAUCUAUGGAGAGUUGGAUGAUGUUACACCAGAUAUUUGUGCUCAAGUUUACAUGGAUUUGGAUUAUCGAAAAAUGUGGGAUAGUUAUGCAAAAGUUCUUGAAGUAAGGAAGUGUAAAGAAGGAAACCUAGUAUACUGGGAGGUCAACUACCCAUUCCCUUUAUGGAAUCGUGAUGUAUCCUUUUUAAACAACAACCAGUACCUAUAUGGAAGGGAAUUGAGAGAACUGGAUAAAGAUGGCAAGAAAGUUUGGAUUGUUCUAGCCAAAUCCAUUCAAUCUCCUGAUGUAGCAGAGAAAAGUGGAGUUGUAAGGGUCAAAGAUUAUUUGCAAAGUGCAGCCUUGUGUACAAAUGGCAGUUCAGGGACUAAAGCCUUUAUGCGUUAUUAUGACAACCCGGAGGGUAAUAUUCCAACAUGGUUGAUCAACUGGGCAGCCAAGACAGGUGUCCCCCAGUUUUUAACUAUGAUGCACGCAGCUUGUCGAGGAUAUCCAAAGUAUCUGGAAGCCAACAGGAGAGCCACGUAACCAUGACAACGUGUGAACCUAUCCAAAGUAUUUUAAGACCAGCAGGAGAGAUCUUUGGAUUAAAAUUUCAGUAUUUUUUGCUGUAAAUUUGAUUGAAUUAUCAUGUAGAAAUUUCAGUAUUUUUUGCUGUAAAUUUGAUUGAAUUAUCAUGCAGAAAUUUCAGUAUUUCAUAGAACUGAUACUGGUAGCACUUUGAACAAUUAUGAUCAAGGAAAUCCUCAGACAUUUUUACAAUUCAAUCUUGAAUUUAAGAAUUUGUCACACAUAUUGUUUGUCAAAGGGAAGGUAAUAAUUAAAAGUCAACUGAUUGGAUGAAAUAAGAUUUGUAAAUUAGAGGCAAAGUAUAAUUGUAUUAGAAAAAAAAAAUCUGUACUGCAUAUCAUAGUAGACUCAACAUGGCUAACCUUAUGACAGUUUUUCUCUCAUUGCCUAGUGUAAAGUGUGUGGGUUAAUUUCUUUAUGUUUUGUUCAAUGAUCUACUAAGGUAGCUGUGAGAUUUAACGAAUACAGAAAGCUAAGUCCAUAUGUGGAGCAAGACAUAUAGUAAGUUCAUGUGUAUAUAUAACAUAAAGAAUGUAUUAAAAUUAAAGGACACUACAAUUCAUCUUUAAAAAUGCAACAGCUUAUAAAAAAAAAAAUGGUUUAAACUUCUGAAUAACUAUUGCCUCCAUAAAAACUGGUUACAUUCAAAUAUACCAAAGAAUAAACAUAAAAAAUAGAUCUUUAUAUUCUAUACGAUCAGGCACAAAAAAUGUGGAGAUAUCCAAACCCUGCAAUUAACUGAAAUGUGGAAACACCCCAUCCUGGAACAAUUCCUUUAAGGCACAAUGAAUGAAAGGCAACCAUUUUUAGCUGGGGCAGCAGGCCCUAAAUGAGUGGUCAAACUCAUUUUUAGCUGGGGCAGUAGGCCCUAAAUGAGUGGUCAAACUUGCCCUAAAUGAGUGGUCAAACUCAUUUUUAGCUGGGGCAGCAAGCCCUAAAUGAGUGGUCUAACUCGUUUUAGCUGGGGCAGUAGGCCCUAAAAUGAGUGGUCAAACGAGGAAAAACCAUUUGACUAGAGGUCAGGUACUGGCUUAAUGGUGCUAUCUAUUUAGAAUUGACAUCAAACUAUACAAAUAAUAUUCUCACGUAACCAAAAUCUACCUGAGAUUAAAAUGUAUAAACAUGUAAGACAAAAAACUUAUUGACAUCACUUAUUGAAAUCAUGUAGUUGACCAUUGGUUACAUAAACAUGUAUCAUAACAAGUUGAAAUUAUGUAGUUGACCAUUGGUUUACAUAAACAUGUAUCAUAACAAGUUGAAAUUAUGUAGUUGAACAUAGGUUACAUAAACAUGUAUCAUAACAAGUUGAAAUUAUGUAGUUGACCAUAGGUUACAUAAACAUGUAUCAUAACAAGUUGAAAUUAUGUAGUUGACCAUUGGUUACAUAAAUAUGUAACUAAUGACUAACUGAAACAAGGCAAUAAAAAAAAGAAUGACUUAUUUUAGAAUGAGUUUAAAAAAUCUGAUAAUGGAAUCUGGUUCAAAUAUUUGACCUUACACCAAUUUGG
RNA transcript from Physella acuta, 2487 nucleotides. It is a transcript of the gene named phosphatidylcholine transfer protein, with no coding region annotated. The record is from RefSeq and is a predicted model, not a curated record. Lineage: Eukaryota; Metazoa; Mollusca; Gastropoda; Physidae.